GGAGUCAGCCAGGCAGUCGCUCGGCUGUGUAUUCAGUCGGGAGGAAAGUCCGGGCUCCAUAGGGCAGAGUGCCAGGUAACGCCUGGGCGGUGUGAGCCGACGGAAAGUGCAGCAGAGAAGAUACCGCCGAUGGCUCAUCUGAUUUCGGUCAGUGAGUACAGGUAAGGGUGAAAUGGUGCGGUAAGAGCGCACCGCGCCGGUGGCAACAUUCGGCGGCAUGGUAAACCCCACUCGGAGCAAGGCCAAAUAGGGAUGCAAUGGCGUGGCCCGCGCUGUAUCCGGGUAGGCUGCUUGAGGUCUGUGGUGACGCAGAUCCCAGAUGAAUGACUGUCUACGACAGAACCCGGCUUAUCGGCUGACUCCUCCU
RNAcentral lists this RNase P RNA (367 nucleotides) under Pseudomonadota bacterium. RNAcentral describes it as "Proteobacteria bacterium (cold seep metagenome) RNase P RNA component class A". It matches the Rfam family "Bacterial RNase P class A". Rfam says of the family: Ribonuclease P (RNase P) is a ubiquitous endoribonuclease, found in archaea, bacteria and eukarya as well as chloroplasts and mitochondria. Its best characterised activity is the generation of mature 5'-ends of tRNAs by cleaving the 5'-leader elements of precursor-tRNAs. Lineage: Bacteria; Pseudomonadati; Pseudomonadota. The record is from RNAcentral.